GGGGCAGUAGCUCAGCUGGGAGAGCGCCAGAAUCGCACUCUGGAGGUCGGGGGUUCGAAUCCCCUCUGCUCCACCA
RNAcentral lists this transfer RNA (76 nucleotides) under Pseudomonadota bacterium. Its description in RNAcentral is "tRNA-Ala". It matches the Rfam family "tRNA". From Rfam's summary of the family: Transfer RNA (tRNA) molecules are approximately 80 nucleotides in length. Their secondary structure includes four short double-helical elements and three loops (D, anti-codon, and T loops). The record is from RNAcentral. RNAcentral also lists the same sequence under 1 other name. Lineage: Bacteria; Pseudomonadati; Pseudomonadota.